CCUACGGGUGGCAGCAGUGGGGAAUAUUGCACAAUGGGGGAAACCCUGAUGCAGCGACGCCGCGUGAGUGAAGAAGUAUGUCGGGAUGUAAAGCUCUAGCAGCAGGGAAGAAAAUGACGGUACCUGAGUAAGAAGCCCCGGCUAACGACGUGCCAGCAGCCGCGGUAAUACGUAGGGGGCAAGCGUUAUCCGGAUUUACUGGGUGUAAAGGGAGCGUAGACGGCAGCACAAGUCUGGAGUGAAAUGCCGGGGCUUAACCCCGGAACUGCUUUGGAAACUGUGCAGCUCGAGUGCAGGAGAGGUAAGUGGCAUUCCUCUUGUAGCGGUGCACUGCGUAGCUAUUAGGCGGACCCCCAGUGGCGAAGGCGGCUUACUGGACUGUACCUGCCGUUGAGGCUCGACCGCGUGGGGAGCAAACCGGAUUCGAUACCCCAGUAGUC
This 440-nucleotide ribosomal RNA is filed under the name uncultured bacterium. RNAcentral describes it as "partial 16S ribosomal RNA". It matches the Rfam family "Bacterial small subunit ribosomal RNA", at positions 338 to 795 of the family's 1533-position model. The record is from RNAcentral.